ACAAUUAUCUUUCUAUGAUAAUUGCUAAUAAUACAAGCUAGUAUUUAUAAGUGUUUACUAUAAUCAAGCAGUAUCCUAAGUGCUUUAUGUAUAUAAACACUUAAUUUACACAAGGACCUUCUGAGAUUGUAUGACUACCCACUGCUCAAGAUGACAAAAGAGGUAUGAAGAUUAUGUAAUUUGCCCAGGGUCACACAAAUUAUAAGUAGAGAAGGCACACCUCACCCUGUCUUCCAUGCUCCUAAAUGCAUGGAGCAGCUAGCUAUCUGAGAUCUCAGAGAAGUAAAUGGUAGCAGGGAGAAAAAACAAAAUUCAAAGUUCCACUAAAAAAUGGUGAGUUCACCAUUUUUCCUCCUCCAGUAUCAUCCAAAAUGGACUCAAAGGCAGCCAAAACCAGAAAUGAACAUCAGAUGUGAACUGAAAGAACUCUUCUUGGAACCCUCUAUUGCAGGUGUGAGGAGCAGAAAGGGACUCCUAAGAGCCCCAAGCACACCAUGGUGGUGAUAGCUACAACAGUGACAGCAAGAGUGGCUGAGCAGGCACUUGAAAUUCUGAGAGGAGAAUCCCUAUCUCUGACCAGAAGAGUUGUGGUCCCACAAGUGAAACUGAUGUUGAGAGAUGAAGAAUCUUCCCCAGAGUUGUAGAUAACUGUUGGAACAACAUAUCACUGCUGAGAACUAGAGUCACAGGCCUGCGGAAUAAGUGUUGGGUUGAAGGGUGGACCUCACCCAAGAGCAGGGAGCAGGGGUGAAAAUUAGUUCAUGUGUCUGAAAGCCAGAACCCAAAUGGGAGAGCUUGUGAAACACUGGAGUGACUCACCUAGAUGGCAAUAAGGGCAGCCUUUGCCCUGCUACAGCCCCUACUCAGAACUACACCCAUGUGUGGGUGCUGGCACAGAAAUUCAGGUUGAGAUUGGGCACUGCUGUAGCCUAAGAUUUUGUAGCUAGGAGGAACCUACAUAGCUGAGGUCCAGGGAAAUGAAUGACCUGCCCAAGACCACAUGGCUAGGUUGGUGGCAGAGCUGAGUUGAAGACCCAGCCUCUGGGCUCCUUCUGUAACUCCAGUGCUUUUUCAUGUGCUGCCUCCUCAGGAGACUAAGGCUACUCCCCCUGCUAGAGGAAGUAAACAUGUGUCUAUCUGGACAGAGCAGAUUAUACUUGAAGCUGAGGGCUGUAGACACUCUGAGUUCCAUCAACCAUAACUCAGCACCCAGCACCCAGAUGGAGGUUGGAUUAGCUAUACCUGUUUAACCUCUGGAAUUCUUGGGUUCUGGUGUGGUUUUUUUUGUUUUUAUGUUUUUAUUAAUUUCUAGAGAGAAAGGG
Molecule: long non-coding RNA, 1322 nt
Organism: Myotis brandtii (Brandt's bat)
Lineage: Eukaryota; Metazoa; Chordata; Mammalia; Chiroptera; Vespertilionidae
Exons: 3
Source: RefSeq, a predicted model, not a curated record